This 481-nucleotide ribosomal RNA is filed under the name uncultured bacterium. Its description in RNAcentral is "partial 16S ribosomal RNA". It matches the Rfam family "Bacterial small subunit ribosomal RNA", at positions 28 to 507 of the family's 1533-position model. The record is from RNAcentral.
GAUGAACGCUGGCGGCGUGCUUAACACAUGCAAGUCGAACGAAGCAUUUGCGACAGAUUUUUUCGGAAUGAAGUUGCUUAUGACUGAGUGGCGGACGGGUGAGUAACGCGUGGGUAACCUGCCUUGUACUGGGGGAUAGCAGCUGGAAACGGCUGGUAAUACCGCAUAAGCGCACAAUGUUGCAUGACAUGGUGUGAAAAACUCCGGUGGCAUAAGAUGGACCCGCGUCUGAUUAGCUAGUUGGUGAGAUAACAGCCCACCAAGGCGACGAUCAGUAGCCGACCUGGGAGGGUGACCGGCCACAUUGGGACUGAGACACGGCCCAGACUCCUACGGGAGGCAGCAGUGGGGAAUAUUGCACAAUGGAGGAAACUCUGAUGCAGCGACGCCGCGGGAGUGAAGAAGUGAUUCGUUAUGUAAAGCUCUAUCAGCAGGGAAGAUAGUGACGGUACCUGACUAAGAAGCACCGGCUAAAUACGUG